This 93-nucleotide transfer RNA is filed under the name Amycolatopsis sp. CA-230715. Its description in RNAcentral is "tRNA-Ala". The record is from RNAcentral. Lineage: Bacteria; Bacillati; Actinomycetota; Actinomycetes; Pseudonocardiales; Pseudonocardiaceae.
CCGCGGCGCGGCUCGCGGGUGAGGGCUCGCUGCUCGCGCUGGUGACGAACGGGCCGAGGCUGCGGAUCGGCCCGAUCCACCGGGUGCUGCGCG